This 45-nucleotide unclassified non-coding RNA is filed under the name Leishmania tarentolae. RNAcentral's name for it is "gA6VI". Lineage: Eukaryota; Euglenozoa; Kinetoplastea; Trypanosomatida; Trypanosomatidae. The record is from RNAcentral.
AAAUACGCAUAAUUACUAAAUUGCGAAUAGAGAAGAUAGAUAUUU